RNAcentral lists this ribosomal RNA (562 nucleotides) under Acinetobacter sp. BN17. RNAcentral's name for it is "bacterial SSU rRNA". It matches the Rfam family "Bacterial small subunit ribosomal RNA", at positions 334 to 886 of the family's 1533-position model. Lineage: Bacteria; Pseudomonadati; Pseudomonadota; Gammaproteobacteria; Moraxellales; Moraxellaceae. The record is from RNAcentral.
UCCCCCUACGGGGGAGCAGCAGUGGGGAAUAUUGGACAAUGGGGGGAACCCUGAUCCAGCCAUGCCGCGUGUGUGAAGAAGGCCUUAUGGUUGUAAAGCACUUUAAGCGAGGAGGAGGCUCUUUUGGUUAAUACCCAAGAUGAGUGGACGUUACUCGCAGAAUAAGCACCGGCUAACUCUGUGCCAGCAGCCGCGGUAAUACAGAGGGUGCGAGCGUUAAUCGGAUUUACUGGGCGUAAAGCGUGCGUAGGCGGCUUUUUAAGUCGGAUGUGAAAUCCCCGAGCUUAACUUGGGAAUUGCAUUCGAUACUGGGAAGCUAGAGUAUGGGAGAGGAUGGUAGAAUUCCAGGUGUAGCGGUGAAAUGCGUAGAGAUCUGGAGGAAUACCGAUGGCGAAGGCAGCCAUCUGGCCUAAUACUGACGCUGAGGUACGAAAGCAUGGGGAGCAAACAGGAUUAGAUACCCUGGUAGUCCAUGCCGUAAACGAUGUCUACUAGCCGUUGGGGUCUUUGAGACUUUAGUGGCGCAGCUAACGCGAUAAGUAGACCGCCUGGGAAGGCUGGC